This 253-nucleotide ribosomal RNA is filed under the name uncultured bacterium. RNAcentral's name for it is "partial 16S ribosomal RNA". It matches the Rfam family "Bacterial small subunit ribosomal RNA", at positions 524 to 776 of the family's 1533-position model. The record is from RNAcentral.
UACGUAGGGUGCAAGCGUUGUCCGGAAUUAUUGGGCGUAAAGAGCUCGUAGGCGGUUUGCUGCGUCCGCUGUGAAAACCCAAGGCUUAACCUUGGGCUUGCAGUGGAUACGGGCAGACUAGAGGUAGGUAGGGGAGAAUGGAAUUCCCGGUGUAGCGGUGAAAUGCGCAGAUAUCGGGAGGAACACCGGUGGCGAAGGCGGUUCUCUGGGCCUUACCUGACACUGAGGAGCGAAAGCGUGGGGAGCGAACAGG